Molecule: ribosomal RNA, 715 nt
Filed under: Epichrysomalla sp. 2082_06
Lineage: Eukaryota; Metazoa; Arthropoda; Insecta; Hymenoptera; Epichrysomallidae
Description: SSU rRNA
Rfam family: Eukaryotic small subunit ribosomal RNA
Source: RNAcentral
AUAACGAUACGGGACUCAUCCGAGGCCCCGUAAUCGGAAUGAGUACACUUUAAAUCCUUUAAUGAGGAUCCAUUGGAGGGCAAGUCUGGUGCCAGCAGCCGCGGUAAUUCCAGCUCCAAUAGCGUAUAUUAAAGUUGUUGCGGUUAAAAAGCUCGUAGUUGAAUCUGUGUGCCACGCUGUCGGUUCAUCGCUCGCGAUGUUUAACUGACAUGAUUGUGGGACGUCCUACCGGUGGAUUGGCCUUUCGGGGCGGUCCAGCUAAUAUCCCAUCGCGGUGCUCUUCAUCGAGUGUCGAGGUGGGCCGGUACGUUUACUUUGAACAAAUUAGAGUGCUCAAAGCAGGCUAUACGCGCCUGAAUACUGUGUGCAUGGAAUAAUGGAAUAGGACCUCGGUUCUAUUUUGUUGGUUUUCGGAACCCCGAGGUAAUGAUUAAUAGGGACAGAUGGGGGCAUUCGUAUUGCGACGUUAGAGGUGAAAUUCUUGGAUCGUCGCAAGACGGACAGAAGCGAAAGCAUUUGCCAAAAAUGUUUUCAUUAAUCAAGAACGAAAGUUAGAGGUUCGAAGGCGAUCAGAUACCGCCCUAGUUCUAACCAUAAACGAUGCCAGCUAGCGAUCCGCCGAUGUUCCUUUGAUGACUCGGCGGGCAGCUUCCGGGAAACCAAAGCUUUUGGGUUCCGGGGGAAGUAUGGUUGCAAAGCUGAAACUUAAAGGAAU